AUUCUAAAGGCACACAUAUUAGAAAUUAGAAUCUUAUGCUGGAUAGACAUCUCUCCCCUUUUUCCUGUUUGCCCAGUUUUCAAAGGUUAGGGGGAAAACAGUCUCCAGAGUUUUUAUGCUUUCUCAAUUUGUAACAUGUGGUGGGAUAGCAUAUAAUAUGUCAUUUAUAUAUUUCUGUUUCUUGCCUAUAUUUGCAUUUCUUAUUUUCUUCCUGUUCUGUCUUGGUAUUUCCCUCCAUCUCCUACUCUAUCCCUAAAUCCUUUCCAGGGUGCAAGUCAAUAAAUAUCUGAAAUUAUUGCCUAUUUCUGAUGUCUUUCAUUUUGUGUCAUGCUUUAUAAGUUCAAAAUUCUGUAACAGUGACCAUCACUUGUUACUCUUGAACAUAUCAGUUAUUUCCAAAGUAUUCUUUGUUAUUGGAUAGUCAGUGAAUGUCUGGGGCUGAAUGAAGAUAUUCUGGGUAGAAUAUGCAGUACUUUAUACCUAAAAGUGAAUUGUAGGAACACUGAAUUACUAACUAGAUGAAUAGCAUAGCAAACCAUCCGCUGAAACCUAACAAAAGUAGCUCAUUUGGGGAGUGAGUUUUGGAGAGUCACUCUGCCUCUGUUCUGUAGAUUGUGGCAAAUAAACAUGAUAUAGUAUACAUUGUGUGUGUGUGUGUGUGUGUGUGUGUGUGUAGGUGUAAUACUAUCUAUUUGAAAUGACAAUGUAAAAUGAGCAGGAGACCUUUUAAGACCAACAAGGAGCUUCCUUUAUCACUACUGAUUCUCGUGUCGAAAUAGAGCUUAGAGAAUCUAUGAUGAAAACACUGUGACCCAAGUUCACACUCUAAGGUCAAACUUCCAAAGUUCAGCCCUUGUCCUUGUGAAUCACUUAACCUUUCUGUACCUUCGUUGCCUCGUCUGUACAAUGGGAAUGCUGCAUAGGGCAAUUGUAAAUUCUCCACUCUGAAUGCCAUCCGGGUAAGUCCCACCUGACUGAACUUGUCGAUCUUAGAGCUGACCUGUCCCACUGGAGGAAGACCUCAGAGACCAUUCCCCAUACAAAAUUUGGCCUUGCCAUCGUCUGUCUUGGGCAAGUCGUUUUAACCUCUCUGACUUCAGUGACUUCUUGUGAAAUGAGAUGAUGGUGCUAUGUGAUCUUUUCCCUUAAACCUCAAGCCAAACAAUAGGUCCAGGCAU
RNAcentral lists this long non-coding RNA (1178 nucleotides) under Homo sapiens (human). RNAcentral's name for it is "HSALNT0333153". The record is from RNAcentral. Lineage: Eukaryota; Metazoa; Chordata; Mammalia; Primates; Hominidae.